GGACUGUGGAGAUAACAAGGGGACCAAAUGAUGCCCUCGGUAUCAGUAUAGCCGGAGGGAAGGGCAGCCCCUUAGGAGAUAUCCCCAUCUUCAUUGCCAUGAUUCAAGCCAGUGGCGUGGCCGCUCGCACCCAGAGGCUCAAGGUUGGAGAUCGGAUUGUCAGUAUUAAUGGGCAACCUUUGGAUGGGCUGUCUCAUGCAGAUGCUGUUAAUCUACUAAAGAAUGCUUAUGGGAGCAUUAUCCU
Tinamus guttatus (white-throated tinamou) is the source of this 244-nucleotide non-coding RNA. The record is from RefSeq and is a predicted model, not a curated record. NCBI's taxonomy places the organism in Eukaryota, Metazoa, Chordata, Aves, Tinamiformes, Tinamidae.